UGCAAGUCGAGCGAGCAGAACCAGCAGAUUUACUUCGGUAAUGACGCUGGGGACGCGAGCGGCGGAUGGGUGAGUAACACGUGGGGAACCUGCCCCAUAGUCUAGGAUACCACUUGGAAACAGGUGCUAAUACCGGAUAAUAAAGCAGAUCGCAUGAUCAGCUUAUAAAAGGCGGCGUAAGCUGUCGCUAUGGGAUGGCCCCGCGGUGCAUUAGCUAGUUGGUAAGGUAACGGCUUACCAAGGCAAUGAUGCAUAGCCGAGUUGAGAGACUGAACGGCCACAUUGGGACUGAGACACGGCCCAAACUCCUACGGGAGGCAGCAGUAGGGAAUCUUCCACAAUGGACGCAAGUCUGAUGGAGCAACGCCGCGUGAGUGAAGAAGGUUUUCGGAUCGUAAAGCUCUGUUGUUGGUGAAGAAGGAUAGAGGUAGUAACUGGCCUUUAUUUGACGGUAAUCAACCAGAAAGUCACGGCUAACUACGUGCCAGCAGCCGCGGUAAUACGUAGGUGGCAAGCGUUGUCCGGAUUUAUUGGGCGUAAAGCGAGCGCAGGCGGAAGAAUAAGUCUGAUGUGAAAGCCCUCGGCUUAACCGAGGAAUUGCAUCGGAAACUGUUUUUCUUGAGUGCAGAAGAGGAGAGUGGAACUCCAUGUGUAGCGGUGGAAUGCGUAGAUAUAUGGAAGAACACCAGUGGCGAAGGCGGCUCUCUGGUCUGCAACUGACGCUGAGGCUCGAAAGCAUGGGUAGCGAACAGGAUUAGAUACCCUGGUAGUCCAUGCCGUAAACGAUGAGUGCUAAGUGUUGGGAGGUUUCCGCCUCUCAGUGCUGCAGCUAACGCAUUAAGCACUCCGCCUGGGGAGUACGACCGCAAGGUUGAAACUCAAAGGAAUUGACGGGGGCCCGCACAAGCGGUGGAGCAUGUGGUUUAAUUCGAAGCAACGCGAAGAACCUUACCAGGUCUUGACAUCUAGUGCCAUCCUAAGAGAUUAGGAGUUCCCUUCGGGGACGCUAAGACAGGUGGUGCAUGGCUGUCGUCAGCUCGUGUCGUGAGAUGUUGGGUUAAGUCCCGCAACGAGCGCAACCCUUAUUAUUAGUUGCCAGCAUUAAGUUGGGCACUCUAAUGAGACUGCCGGUGACAAACCGGAGGAAGGUGGGGAUGACGUCAAGUCAUCAUGCCCCUUAUGACCUGGGCUACACACGUGCUACAAUGGGCAGUACAACGAGAAGCGAGCCUGCGAAGGCAAGCGAAUCUCUGAAAGCUGUUCUCAGUUCGGACUGCAGUCUGCAACUCGACUGCACGAAGCUGGAAUCGCUAGUAAUCGCGGAUCAGAACGCCGCGGUGAAUACGUUCCCGGGCCUUGUACACACCGCCCGUCACACCAUGGAAGUCUGCAAUGCCCAAAGCCGGUGGCCUAACCUUCGGGAAGGAGCCGUCUAAGGCAGGCA
RNAcentral lists this ribosomal RNA (1444 nucleotides) under Lactobacillus helveticus. RNAcentral's name for it is "bacterial SSU rRNA". It matches the Rfam family "Bacterial small subunit ribosomal RNA". Lineage: Bacteria; Bacillati; Bacillota; Bacilli; Lactobacillales; Lactobacillaceae. The record is from RNAcentral.